Molecule: transfer RNA, 41 nt
Filed under: Cocos nucifera (coconut palm)
Lineage: Eukaryota; Viridiplantae; Streptophyta; Magnoliopsida; Arecales; Arecaceae
Also listed under: 2 other names
Description: partial tRNA-Ser
Source: RNAcentral
GACCGGAGCUAUCAACCACUCGGCCAUCUCUCCCAGAGGUA